UAACAAGGAUUCCCCUAGUAACUGCGAGUGAAGCGGGAAAAGCUCAAAUUUAAAAUCUGGCAGUCUUUGGCUGUCCGAGUUGUAGUCUGGAGAAGCGUUUUCCGCGUUGGACCGUGUACAAGUCUCCUGGAACGGAGCGUCAUAGAGGGUGAGAAUCCCGUCUUUGACACGGACUACCAGUGCUUUGUGAUGCGCUCUCAAAGAGUCGAGUUGUUUGGGAAUGCAGCUCAAAAUGGGUGGUAAACUCCAUCUAAAGCUAAAUAUUGGCGAGAGACCGAUAGCGAACAAGUACCGUGAGGGAAAGAUGAAAAGCACUUUGGAAAGAGAGUUAAACAGUAUGUGAAAUUGCUGAAAGGGAAACGCUUGAAGUCAGUCGCGUUUGCUAGGACUCAGCCUUGCCUCGGCUUGGUGCAUUUCCUAGUAGACGGGCCAGCAUCACUUUUGGCUGCGGGAAAAAGGUCAGAGGAAUGUGGCACCUUCGGGUGUGUUAUAGCCUUUGGCUGUAUACCGUGGCUGGGAGUGAGGAACUCAGCACGCCUUCAUGGCGGGGCUUCGGCCACCUUCGUGCUUAGGAUGCUGGCGUAAU
RNAcentral lists this ribosomal RNA (586 nucleotides) under uncultured Phanerochaete. RNAcentral describes it as "eukaryotic LSU rRNA". It matches the Rfam family "Eukaryotic large subunit ribosomal RNA", at positions 66 to 635 of the family's 3401-position model. Lineage: Eukaryota; Fungi; Basidiomycota; Agaricomycetes; Corticiales; Corticiaceae. The record is from RNAcentral.